Long non-coding RNA from Photinus pyralis (common eastern firefly), 583 nucleotides. RefSeq lists it as uncharacterized. The transcript is spliced from 3 exons. Lineage: Eukaryota; Metazoa; Arthropoda; Insecta; Coleoptera; Lampyridae. The record is from RefSeq and is a predicted model, not a curated record.
AAUGUCUCUUCAAGCUUUCUUCAUUUUUACCACUUUGGUCGUUGGUGUUUUCGCUGAUACGCCUUACACGACAUGUACCUACCGAACCCUACAAAAUCCCGAUGGGAUAAUAGUUUUGCUCUGUUUCAGGUCCAUCUAAUGUUAACGGUGUCACCGUUAAUCACUUCCAACUGAACGACUGUACUGCAUCGCCUUGCCAAGUCACGAAAGGUUCUACCGUCCAGAUAACCCUAAACGCUACCGCUCUUAUAAUUAUUGGAGCAAAUACGAAUCCUACUAUAUCGCUGACUACAUAUGUUCUCGGCCUUCCGGUAACUGGUCAAACCGAUUUGUGCACCCUGACACCAUGUCCCUUACUGGUAGGCGAUACUCGAGUCAUCGUUGAUUCGGGAACUAUCCCAAGCAGUACUCCAUCGGGAACUUAUACUGUGAAGCUAAGAAUUGUGGAUAAUUCGAACUCCAUCGUUUGUCUCCAAUUCACCGCAUCUCUUUCAUAAUAAUGGAGUUGGUAGCAAAUACACUGACGAUAACGUCCCCAGUAUACAUUUUAUAUUCUUACUUAUCAUAGUGUACGUUUAUUAGA